Long non-coding RNA from Papaver somniferum (opium poppy), 2812 nucleotides. RefSeq lists it as uncharacterized. The record is from RefSeq and is a predicted model, not a curated record. The transcript is spliced from 9 exons. Lineage: Eukaryota; Viridiplantae; Streptophyta; Magnoliopsida; Ranunculales; Papaveraceae.
UCUCCUUAUCGAGCGCAUUCUUUCUCAUCUUAAUGUCAUUGGAUGAUCUUCGAAUUCGAUUACCAUCUAAGGAGGCAAGAAUGAGAAUGGGUUAAUUGGAGAUGGGGGUUUGAGAGUUCUUGGAUGAUGAUAUGAGUUGGGUUGAGAUAGAUUGGCAACCAGAUGAAGAAUUCGAUCGAGAAAAAAUAUUCCAGGUCCAAAUAUUUCUCUAUUUUUUUCCCUAUCAAUUUCAAUUGAAUUUCGAUUUCAGAAUUACUUAUACAAUGGGUAGUUGCAAAGCUGUUGUUGGUAUUGCUACCAGAGAAGCUACAACAAUGGGGCAAUGGAUUCUGGUGUGUAUACUCUGAGACUUGCAGGGACUGAAUUUGGGAUUGCAACUGUUGGUGAUGGCUGAGCAGAUACAUGUACCUAAAGGUCAUGAUUUGUGCAUCAGGGUAGUUGAACAAUGGCGCUUGACAAGAAGGCAACGAUAUAUGUUAGCAAUCACUACAUAACAGAAUAUCCUUUCAUGCUGAAUGUAGAAGGUCUAGAAGAAGCCCAAUUUGAUGUGGAAUUAAUUCACUAAUAUUCUUUAUUCAGAUUUUUUAAAGGGGAAUAAUGGAUACAAGAACCUUCUUAAGAGUGCAUUGACAGGUGGUUGUAGUUGCUGAGAUCAGUCUGAAAAUAAAGGAAAAGGGCGUGAGUGUCUAUUCACGUGGCUUAGAAGGUAAAAUUUCAGUUAUAAUGUGUUUUCUCCCCUUUUGAAUCUCCUGGAAGGGCUGUUAAAAAUACUGGAUAAUUUCCGCAUUGCGCCAAAACUAACUUGGAGAGGUCUUUCAUGUUUUUACUUCAUAAGUAGUGCAGGCUCUUUAUAUAACCGUAUACUCAAAAUAUUUGGAGUUAUCUGCAGCAAUACCUAAUUGAAGGAUUUGCCAAAAAAAUAUGUGUGUAAUGACAAAUGUGAUCUUGGCAUUUUAAGCAUCGUUUUACAGUUGAUAGACUGACAUAGUUAGCUUUUCCAUUUAUAUUUGUUUUGGUGUCCACCCUACCAAAUUAAAGCUACUUUCGCACCCUAACACAUUCUGUAUGGUGGUACUCAUAACCAACACCUGUUCUUAUGUAUGCCCAAAUGAUAGAAGAAGCAGAUCAGGUGAAGCUAUCAGAUUUUUUGGUGAGAAUGAAUUCAACCAGAUGCACAUGCGGGACUCUUAUAUGUGGCUUCUGUAAAACUUGCUGCAGUAGGGGAAGGUACCUGCAUCAACUUUUUAGAAGAUAUAGAAAUAUCCACGGGGCUAGAGAGGCUGCUCUACAUUGGGUUUGGAGAUAAACUAAUGUGCUUAUCAAGUGACAUUUUCAGCUAAUUCUUUAGCCUAUUUGUGGUGUAAAGUCGUCUACAUUUUGAACCUGUGUUUCCCCUUUUAAAAUUCAUACAGAUGGUAAUAUAUGGACCAUGUCCACAAACCACGAGCAAACACAGAACAUGAAACAAAUUUAGGAAGCCUCUUUACAUAGAUUAGCAUUGUUCCUACAGAAUAGAUUUAGGUCAUUGCGCAGUGUGUUGGGAUUAACAGCCUUUCUCCCAGUGUCGCACUUGCUCUUCUCCUCAUGUGGAGUAUAUUACCUGUUUUCUGGUGUAGGAUAUCCCCAGAACGAGCAAAGCGAGAACUGCCAUCAAGGUAGUAGAGUAUAACCCAAUUCAUAUCCAACACAACCUUUUCUUUAUUUCCUAGGCAGCUUCUAUGAAAUUGGGUAUUGCGGAGUUUCUUCAUUUCUUUCCCAUUUCUCAUUGUUAUUUAUUACAGAUUAGUUUUCUACUCAAUCAUGAGUUUUUAGACGAUCAGUUGCAUUCAAUUCAGAAUGAAAAACCAUCAGCUACUACUACUUCUAGAUAACGAAAUGGAUGAUGGAGGGAGCUUAUUAAAAUCUGCCAUUUCUGAUCAAUAUCCGGAACAGCAACAACUUCAGUCAAUCAGAUAUGAACUCAAGUUGCGCCAAUCAGUUUGGUAUACAAGAGGUACUCAUAAAUAAGACCUACAGAACUCAAGAGUAAAGAUCCAGUGUUACAAAGUCAUCACGAAUAGUCUGGAGACAAUAUCUAAUCGGAGUAUUCAUUGGUAAUGUCGGGAAAUAACUACGACUGGUCUGAAUCCUCAUUGUUAAAAGAAGUUAAGUACUGAUAGAAUCUGAGGUAAAAGUUGAUCCUAAUUCGGUACGAUGGCAAUGACUUCCAGUACAAUAUGGCUGCUUGCAGCAAUCAAGAGAGCUGAUGCAGCUGUGAUUAAUUACAAUCUUUAAAAGACAAUCUCUGUCUGCUAAUUACACGAUUACCUAAACAUAUAUGGUGAAGAUAUAUGUAAAGUAGAUUGUAAACCAAAACCCGAUGAGACAACAUAGACGUGUUAAAGUAAAGAAGAAGAAAAAUUCUGAACUUGCUAGAGAAUGGUGGAGGGAAGCGAAUUCUACUGGUGGUGGUUAGGAGGAUGAGAUAAUUGGUGCAGAGAUGAAGGUAUGAAUGUUGAUAUUAAAAAUAAGAAGAAAAGGGGUUGGAGUAGAAAGUAGUACAGGGGGAUGGAAGUAUUAGUCGAGAUUGGGCAAGUGGAUUAAUCCAUAAAAGUGGCUUGAGGUAUUAAAUGCACAGUGUGUUACAUCGUUUCUGAAUAUGGUGGUGGGGUGGACUUUUAUAGAAAUGUGGUGUCAUAGACCCAGCUAUAUGGCCUGUUCACCUAUUUCGACAACAUUUUUUCUGUUAAUUUCUAAGUUUUUAUUUUAAGAGCCUGUAAGGACUAUAAGACCUUAUGGCCUGCACUUUUGUCACUUUCGAACUAUGUUAUGG